UACGGGAGGCAGCAGUGGGGAAUAUUGCACAAUGGGCGCAAGCCUGAUGCAGCCAUGCCGCGUGUAUGAAGAAGGCCUUCGGGUUGUAAAGUACUUUCAGUCGUGAGGAAGGUGUUAAGGUUAAUAACCUUAGCAAUUGACGUUAGCGACAGAAGAAGCACCGGCUAACUCCGUGCCAGCAGCCGCGGUAAUACGGAGGGUGCGAGCGUUAAUCGGAAUUACUGGGCGUAAAGGGCACGCAGGCGGUUAAUUAAGUUGGAUGUGAAAUCCCCGGGCUUAACCUGGGAAUGGCAUUCAAGACUGGUUAGCUAGAGUCUUGUAGAGGGGGUAGAAUUCCAUGUGUAGCGGUGAAAUGCGUAGAGAUGUGGAGGAAAUACCGGUGGCGAAAGGCGGCCCCUGGACAAAAGGACUGACGCUCAUGUGCGAAAGCGUGGGGAGCAAAACAGGGAUUAGAUACC
Molecule: ribosomal RNA, 458 nt
Filed under: uncultured bacterium
Lineage: Bacteria
Description: bacterial SSU rRNA
Rfam family: Bacterial small subunit ribosomal RNA
Source: RNAcentral